AACAAAGCCGUUUUGGGCCGGUUAAUUCAUUUUGUCUACAGUGAUUCUGCAGAGGUCUUUAAACUCUGACAUGAUUUAAUAUCUGGAAUUUACUUUACUACAUUUAUAACGCCUCGGAAUAGUUUAAAAGGCAACUUGAGCGUCAUGGUGGUAAACUCCAUCCACUGGUUCCGUAAAGGACUACGUCUCCAUGACAACCCCGCACUACUGGAGGCAGUGAAGGGGGCGGACACCCUGCGCUGCGUCUACUUCCUGGACCCGUGGUUCGCUGGGGCAUCAAACCUGGGCGUCAACAGAUGGAGGUUUCUGCUGCAGUCGUUGGAGGAUCUGGACUGCAGUCUUCAUAAACUCAACUCC
This is a long non-coding RNA of Xyrauchen texanus (razorback sucker), 357 nucleotides long. RefSeq lists it as uncharacterized. The transcript is spliced from 3 exons. NCBI's taxonomy places the organism in Eukaryota, Metazoa, Chordata, Actinopteri, Cypriniformes, Catostomidae. The record is from RefSeq and is a predicted model, not a curated record.